This 68-nucleotide transfer RNA is filed under the name Hieromantis kurokoi. RNAcentral's name for it is "tRNA-Leu". The record is from RNAcentral. Lineage: Eukaryota; Metazoa; Arthropoda; Insecta; Lepidoptera; Stathmopodidae.
ACUAUUUUGACAGAAAAAUGUGAUGAUUUUAGAAUUCAUUUAUAUAUAAUUAUAUUAUAUAGAUAGUA